UACGUAGGGGGCAAGCGUUGUCCGGAAUUAUUGGGCGUAAAGAGCGCGUAGGCGGUCCGGUAAGUCGGUUGUGAAAGUCGGGGGCUCAACCCUCGGAUGCCGAUCGAUACUGUCGGGCUAGAGUCCGGAAGAGGCGAGUGGAAUUCCUGGUGUAGCGGUGAAAUGCGCAGAUAUCGGGAAGAACACCGGUGGCGAAGGCGGGUCUCUGGGCCACUACUGACGCUGAGGAGCGAAAGCGUGGGGAGCGAACAGG
Molecule: ribosomal RNA, 253 nt
Filed under: uncultured bacterium
Lineage: Bacteria
Description: partial 16S ribosomal RNA
Rfam family: Bacterial small subunit ribosomal RNA
Source: RNAcentral